CAGCAGCCGCGGGAAUACGAAGGGGGCUAGCGUUGUUCGGAUUUACUGGGCGUAAAGGGCGCGUAGGCGGACUGAUAAGUCAGGGGUGAAAUCCCAAGGCUCAACCUUGGAACUGCCUUUGAUACUGUUUGUCUUGAGUUCGGGAGAGGUAAGUGGAACUGCGAGUGUAGAGGUGAAAUUCGUAGAUAUUCGCAAGAACACCAGUGGCGAAGGCGGCUUACUGGCUCGAAACUGACGCUGAGGCGCGAAAGCGUGGGGAGCAAACAGGAUUAGAUACCCCGGUAGUCCCUGUCUCUUAUAA
Molecule: ribosomal RNA, 301 nt
Filed under: uncultured bacterium
Lineage: Bacteria
Description: partial 16S ribosomal RNA
Rfam family: Bacterial small subunit ribosomal RNA
Source: RNAcentral